RNAcentral lists this ribosomal RNA (94 nucleotides) under Escherichia coli. RNAcentral describes it as "partial 16S ribosomal RNA". It matches the Rfam family "Bacterial small subunit ribosomal RNA", at positions 1 to 88 of the family's 1533-position model. RNAcentral also lists the same sequence under 1 other name. The record is from RNAcentral. Lineage: Bacteria; Pseudomonadati; Pseudomonadota; Gammaproteobacteria; Enterobacterales; Enterobacteriaceae.
UUAAAUUGAAGAGUUUGAUCAUGGCUCAGAUUGAACGCUGGCGGCAGGCCUAACACAUGCAAGUUGAACGGUAACAGGAAACAGCUUGCUGUUU